This 229-nucleotide long non-coding RNA is filed under the name Bos taurus (domestic cattle). Its description in RNAcentral is "long non-coding RNA NONBTAT007164". The record is from RNAcentral. Lineage: Eukaryota; Metazoa; Chordata; Mammalia; Artiodactyla; Bovidae.
AAAUUAUUGGUAAUUCCUAGGUUAAACAAAAUGUUACAGUCAGUCUUUUGUCACCAUUAGUCAUCACUCCCAUUUUACAGCUCAGAAUGUGGGCAAAAGACAGUUAAAUAAUUUGUUAAGUAUAUAAAAAGUGAUAUGUAAGAAGUCAGCUGGUAGACUGAGAGUAGAAAUCUUUUGGCUCUCAAUUCCAGAUCUUUUAUGUGGGACUUUAAACGUUAUAUCUCCCUCU